Molecule: small nuclear RNA, 134 nt
Filed under: Chinchilla lanigera (long-tailed chinchilla)
Lineage: Eukaryota; Metazoa; Chordata; Mammalia; Rodentia; Chinchillidae
Description: U4 spliceosomal RNA (ENSCLAG00000020656.1)
Rfam family: U4 spliceosomal RNA
About the family: U4 small nuclear RNA (U4 snRNA) is a component of the major U2-dependent spliceosome. The structure of U4 snRNA from yeast and human has been reported. U4 snRNA presents a k-turn RNA motif in the 5p-SL related to recognition of Snu13 protein.
Source: Rfam by way of RNAcentral
AGCUUUGCGCAGUGGCAGUAUUGCAGCCAGUGAGGUUUAUCCAAGGUGCGAUUAUUGCUAAUUAAAUCUUUUCCCAAAAGAUGAUACACAAGAGCACCGUGUGUUGGAGCAUGUCUGUGAUCCCAGCACCUGGG